UUUUCUUUUCUUUUUUUUUUUUUUUUUUUUAAGAAAGAGAGAGAGUAUGCAACCAGAUAGAAGCAAAGGGGGAGGAAGAAAGAGAAUCCUAAGCAGGCUCCACGCUCAGUGUGAUGCCUGAUGUGGGGCUCGAUCUCACAAUUCUGAGAUUGUGACCUGAGCCAAAAUAAAGAGUCAGACACUCAACUGACUGAGCCACCCAGAAGGCCGCACUUAUCACGCAUCAUUUCUUGUCCAAUAUGGACAAGAACCCAGAGCACAUCUCUUAUUUUGUGAAUAUGAAACUUACCAAAACUAGUAGCUAAAGAGUUGUGAAAUCAUUUAUACUAAUUGGUGCAAGGCAAAACCAAAAUAUAAAAGAACAUCAAUGCUCCCCAAAAUGCAUAAUGUGCAAGUGCUGAAGUCUAUAAAGGGAAGUCCAUUGGCUGAGGGGGUUAGUAGAUGUGACAUUCCUUAACAUCAAUUUCCUCAAGUGGAAACUUGAGAAAUGUUCUGUUUCACUGAGGCUCAGUCUCCUCAUCUGUACACUGAGGACAAUCUCUGGCCUACCAACCAGAAAUAUUCAUAAAGAGCUUAAAAUAAAAUAAUAGAUGAGUAAACACUAUAGAGGCCUAAAAGUGUGGUAGGGGGGCACCGGGGUGGCUCAGCGGUUGCACAUCUGCCUUUGGUUCAGAGCAUCAUCCUGGAGUCCUGGGAUCGAGUCCUACGUCAGGCUCCCUGUGGGGAACCUACUUCUCCCUCUACCUGUGUCUCUGCCUUUCUCUGUGUCUCUCAUGAAUAAAUGAAUAAAAUCUUGUUUUAAAAAAAGUGUGGAAAGAUUGUGAGCGAAUUGGCAUUUUCUACCUUUCCAUCUUUCUUUCAUUUCAAAGACUUAAAAUACAUUUGAAAUGUUAAAAAUCAAUUAAAUAUAUUUUUUGCGAUCUCUAAGUUUUGUGAUGCAUCCACAAAUGACUGACAUGUUUGUUCCAAUGUUCCAUCUGCAAUAUUGAUCUUUUACCAUGUUAUAGUUCUUCACCAAUAUUUUUAUUCUGUUCUCCCCAUUUUUAAGCAAAGGAUCUCAUGCUGUGGAGAGCUUCUCAAUCUUACCAGAGGCAGAGGAUGAGUUAGAAUAGCCAAACAAGAAUCAAAACUCUUGAGCAUCUAAUCUAUGAAUCAUAUUGUAGAGCCAUGGGGCCUACAAAAAAUAGUCACCAGGAGAGAAGUCAGUACAAAAGAAACUGGUCUGAUGGUGGUCAAAGGGGGGGGGGGGGGCGGCACGGACAGAGGCAUCAGAAUUACCUGGAGAGCUUGUCAAACCACAGAUUGUUGUACUUCACCCCCAGAGUUUCUGAUUCAGGAGAUCUGAGAUGGGGCCCAGGGUUCUGCAUUACUAACAAGUUCCCAGGUGAUGCUGAUGCCACUGAUCUAAGGACCACACUGUGAGCCAAGAGUUCCACCUUCUCAUAUGUCAGUUCUUUUGAUUCUCCCCUCACCCAAGAACUCUGUAAGGUAGGUAUUAUUAUACCCAUUUUAUAUAUUGGGAAACUGAGGCCCAAAGUAGAAGCUUGCUCUAAUUCCACCUUGCUGAUCAACCAAAUCAGAGUAGCCUCAGAAGGUCAAUUAACCCCUCUGUGGCCCCCCUUUUUUUUUCAAUUAGUGAAAAAAUAUUGUCAGAUUCUAAUGAGGAUUAAAAGGACACAACGUCUAAUAAGUGCUCGGCAACGUCCAAAGCAGCCCCUAAAAGCCCAUCUACAACAGGAUUCAACAUGCCAGAGAACUAAGGUUGAAUUCCAGGAAUCGCACUUAGCCCGCACUCGUACUUUUGUCAUUUUUCUAGUUGCGUGGAAAUUUCUAACCACCAUCCAAGCAUUACUAACCCCAACUUUUGUGAUUUUGCUUUGUUUUUGUUUUUGUUUUUUUAAUUACUGACUUUGUUUUUCCAAGAAAUUCUCUUCUGUGCUGCAGUGGUGUGGGGAGGGCAGUUAUAGGCAGGCGGUUAGUUAUUAACAAAUUGAACACUUCUUUUCUAAGACACUUGUUACCUGAAUAGACAGCGUUCCCUAUGUUGUUACACACAGUUAUGUUGGAUACUGGUGCGAGCCUAUCCUCCUUUUGUGUAAGCUUUUCUGAUUUGGCUUUCAGAGGAUUCAAGGCGUUUUGAUUUCUAUAUUUAGAAACCCAGGGCUUUUUGGUAUGCUACAAAUCACGCCGAGACAAGACUAAUUGUAAGCACUUGUACUUAAAAAUUAGUUUCAAGAAUAAGAACCUUCAGAGGUUUCCAUAUUGUAUUCCACUAGAGUAUCAUUAAGGGAAGCAAUUACUUAUCAGGAUAUACUCAAAACAACUUUAUUGCAUUCGGAGGAAAUAAUGGGAGUUGUCUGUCUAAAUUACUAGGCAGGGGCCCUGGAAAUCACUUAGCAUAAUUCUUGGCAUAAGGUAGGCAGUCAAUAAAUGGGGCAGGGAGUCAGGUAAAUGACCACCUAGUAAGUGUUAGGUGUUUGCACAUAUUAUGCCAUUUGGUCUUCAUUCAUAAUAACCCUGAACGAGGUACGACCAUCUUCAUUUACAGAUGAGGAAACAGAGACCCAUAAAAGUUAAGUGACGUUUGCUAGAUCAUUAGGUAAGUAGGUGAGUCAAGAUGCCAGCCCACAGGUGCUUGAUGCCAAAAGCAAUUUUCUUUCACUGCACUAAGCCGUCUCUCCCUCGCUUGUUUCCUUCUUCCCUUUGUGUCUUCCCUCCUCUGCUGCGUUCCUUUCACAGAUACCAGAAGUCUCUGUAAAUGCCAGCCAGUGACAAAUGCUAACGAGGUCGUCCCAUCUUACGGAUCGGUUCAUAGUAGGACAAAGUGAUCCCUCAAAGCCACCUCUGAAAAGUCUCAGAAUAAAAUAUGGAAUGCAUUCCUGAAUCCUAUCCCUCAGUACUGAGCUAUAAGCACUGGGGUACAUUUCAGAGGAUCCUUUAUUUAGGAAAACAAAGUGUUUGUGUGUAGACAACAGUCACACAACAGUCCAUCACCCGGGGCUGAGAUUCCCAGCACAGUAUGAACCAGCUGCUCAAGAUGACAGAGAUACAUGGAAGGGAAAAUGGUCUUGCUUCCCAUUUGAAUUACAAAUGCUUCCUGGAGACAAGUCAGGUGUAUAUGCCCAUUUGUUUAUUGCCUAAUGAUACCACUGCUAAAGAAAAAUAAGUAAAUAAGUAAAAGUGAAGCAUCUUGAUUUAUUAUUUCAUCAGAAUAUAACGGAGGCCCAGAGCAAUAAAGGGAACUAAUUACGGGCUUUCUUUACAUUCCCCCCAAACACCAGUUGUCUUUGUCUUCAACUUUUUUCUCUUUUUUUUCCCCAUUCCUAGGUCUCCACACCUAAUUUUUUUCUGUUUUUCACAUCCUCCCUUGCAAUCUCUCUUUUUGUUCCUCUUGUCAAAGACUCUCUUGUCCCUCAUCUCCAGAGCACCUCCUCCCUGAUAUUUUGUGCCUGGUUCCAACAGCAGAUACCACAGUGGUGGCACUUCCACCUCUGUGAUGGCAAGAGGUUCGUGCCACUGUGUUACUUCGGAUGUACUGAUCCUUCAGCCUCUUCUCCUCCUGGAAAGGGAUGGGGAUGAUGCCAGUGGAAUAUUUCCUCCUGAAAUGCAUACUGAAAAUUGUGCUCCAUGUCUCUUUUGAAAUGGAUUAUGAAAAUGGGAUUUUUUCCAGACUUUUUUUUCUGAUUGCAAGAGUAAUGAAUAUUUAUAAAAGAUAUAGGAAAAUAUAAAAGAAAAAACUAAUUCCCCAUUAUUAUUGCAGUAUGGAAGUGGUUAUUCUUAAAUAUGCAUGGGUUGUAUGCCUGUAUUUUAGCAUAUAUCAUAAAUUUGCAUGUAUCACUAAUUUUACAUAUAUACAUUGUCCAUGGUAUUACCAUUCUCAUCAACACCAUUUCAAUGGCCGUAUCUUAUUCCAAUGUGUGAUUAUACUAAAAUACACUGAAUCAUACUCCUUUGGUAACUAGUUGGCUUUUCUUUUUUCAAUUUUUUGCCAUUAUAAAUAAUGCUACCGUGAACAACUUUGUGCAAAAAGUUCAUUCUGCAAUUUUCAAUUAUUUCCUUAGAAAAUUAUUCCAAACAUAAAACCGUCAGAUCAAGGUUAUGAGCACUUUAAGGUUCUUUAUAUCGUUAAAUUGCAUUCCAAAAAGUGUGUGCUCUCUACAAAUCCCUUACUAAGCAACGAACCUUUAUACAAACUUUAUUAAAAAGUUUUCCAAAGCAAAUAAUCACCUCCUAAUUUGUCAUUUGUGAAAAGGCCAGAAAAAUUGAGGUCCUUCUUUCUACCCUGAUCCUCACCAUCGUGCCUCCCUGUACCACCUACAGGGGGCCCGAUAGCUUAGGCCCUCUUGAUUUUGUCCCUCUUUUUUGCAAGACAAGAACCAAAGCCAUUCUCUCAUUCAUUCAUCCAACCUAGAGUGGAACAGUCGCUGAUAAAUUAUUUGUCAGGCCCCAUGGCAGGUGGUGAGGAUCUAAGGAUGAGUAGGACACUGUCUGUAACCUACAGGAACAAUGGUAUUGUGGGGUGGACAGAUAAGUACAUGACAGCACCAGAAGACAAGAGCUCCAGAGAGGGAGGCCUGCUACAAGGAUCCAUCAGCCCAAAUAAAGCUCUCCAAGACUUGAGCUCCAACUUCCCAGUUCUAGCUGGGAUGACAGAGAGGUGCCUUCCCCUCGAACGCCCUGACAUCCAUGCAACUUCCCUUGCUUUGUCCUGCAAGGGGUGGCUUCACUCCUUAGCUCUCUUAUCACCCGAUGUGGGCUUUCCUUUCCUCUUGAGCCUGGUACACCUGACAUUCCGGAGAUUCAUCAUUCAGGCAUAAAUUUGUUCACACUGCCAGAAAAUUGAUGGAAUUAUAAAAGGAUCAAAGAUGACUCUCAGUGUCCCAGGUUUUUUUGUCUCCAAAUCAAGAUCAGAAAUGAUAGUGUGCAAGCCCCUGUGUGCGGCUUGUGGUGUAAAAUCCUGCAAGCUACUGCACCACACCACCAGCGCUUAGCACUGCUAUUAGAAUGGAAAAGUGAGGGUUUGGUUCCAAUGGAAAAAAGCAGGCACUUGUGGCCUCUUUCAAUGAAAAAGAAAUACAAGAAGUAUUUUAAUGAUGUUUUUUAAUCAUUUCCUCAGAGUGCACAGUGAGAAUAUAUCUGCUGGAAAAUGAAAAAGAACACAACAUCAAUUUAGUGCAGAAAACCACUCUAACACCUAAGGGUCUGGUCUCACAUUUUUCAUUAAUUCCAGGCUGAUAACUUUCAACAUUAGGCCUUGGUGCUUCAUCCAACUCCAGCUUCCUAGAAGCACACGAGCAAAUCAAAAUGUCUUUACGUUUGCCAAGAAGUCUUCUAAAUAUGGGACACCAACUCUGGUUUCAAGUCAUUUUUUGCUGCCCCAAUUCUACUCUCAACUAUAUAUUUCCCAUUAGAAACUUCCAUCCAUCAACCCUGUGAGUUUUCUCACGAAAUUAUAGGUACUGAAGACUCAUCUUCCUAAGUGAUCACAACAAAGAUGGUUUCAAACACAGCUUGUCAACGAAAGUACAAAGCUAUUUAGAAAAAAAGAGAGAGCCAACAGCUUAAUUCCAAAGAUGCCACUUGGAUCGUUUCUGCCCUUCCCAUGAGAAUCUUCAAUGCCUUUCGCUGUUUACAUAAUUCAACCCAGUACUUUUAAUUUUUUUCUGACUGUCAUAAAAAAUAUAGACAACAUAAAAUGUGCCAUUCUAACCAUGUUAAAGUGUGCAGUUCAGUGGCAUUAAGCAUAUUGCCAUUGCUGUACAGCC
Molecule: long non-coding RNA, 5765 nt
Filed under: Canis lupus familiaris (dog)
Lineage: Eukaryota; Metazoa; Chordata; Mammalia; Carnivora; Canidae
Description: lncRNA (ENSCAFG00000057407.1)
Source: RNAcentral